GAUCCUGGCUCAGGAUGAACGCUAGCGACAGGCUUAACACAUGCAAGUCGAGGGGCAGCGGGGGUAGCAAUACCCGCCGGCGACCGGCGCACGGGUGAGUAACGCGUAUGCAACUUACCUAUCAGAGGGGGAUAACCCGGCGAAAGUCGGACUAAUACCGCAUGAAGCAGGGCCCCGCAUGGGGAUAUUUGCUAAAGAUUCAUCGCUGAUAGAUAGGCAUGCGUUCCAUUAGGCAG
RNAcentral lists this ribosomal RNA (236 nucleotides) under uncultured bacterium. RNAcentral's name for it is "partial 16S ribosomal RNA". It matches the Rfam family "Bacterial small subunit ribosomal RNA", at positions 15 to 248 of the family's 1533-position model. The record is from RNAcentral.